RNAcentral lists this ribosomal RNA (500 nucleotides) under uncultured bacterium. RNAcentral's name for it is "bacterial SSU rRNA". It matches the Rfam family "Bacterial small subunit ribosomal RNA", at positions 355 to 873 of the family's 1533-position model. The record is from RNAcentral.
UGGGGAAUCUUGCACAAUGGAGGAAACUCUGAUGCAGCGACGCCGCGUGAGCGAUGAAGCCCUUCGGGGUGUAAAGCUCUUUCGACAGGAACGAUAAUGACGGUACCUGGAGAAGAAGCUGCGGCUAACUACGUGCCAGCAGCCGCGGUAAUACGUAGGCAGCAAGCGUUGUUCGGAAUUACUGGGCGUAAAGAGUGUGUAGGCGGUGCUCUAAGUUCGUUGUGAAAUCUCCCGGCUUAACUGGGAGGGUGCGGCGGAAACUGGAGUGCUUGAGCGCGGGAGAGGAAAGCGGAAUUCCUGGUGUAGCGGUGAAAUGCGUAGAUAUCAGGAGGAACACCUGUGGUGUAGACGGCUUUCUGGACCGUAGCUGACGCUGAGACACGAAAGCGUGGGUAGCAAACAGGAUUAGAUACCCUGGUAGUCCACGCCCUAAACGAUGCAUACUUGGUGUGAGCCAUUCAGUUGGUUCGUGCCGGAGUUAACGCGUUAAGUAUGCCGCC